UUCCAAUUUGGGACAGUUGUAAUGGUUGAUGGUUACUAAAUUAUAUUAAAAGUUCUAGUCCUGUUCUUUGCAUCAGUUUGUUCUACUUCUUUACUCUAGAAUCACAUAGGAAAAGCUGAUCUCACUGCCGUUCAGUUAUUCUUCAGAUAUGCCAGGAUAGCUCCGUGCUCUCAAGUCCAUUUCCCUCUGGGUUAAGUAUUCUCAGGUCCUUAGUUGGCCCGAAUGAUGAAAGGCCAAACUAGCCCACUCGUCUCAUCCAUCCCCAGCUCUCUGCCUUUGCUCACUGGGAGCACUGGGAGAGGAAGGGAGCAUCAAAAGAGAGAAGGAGUCCCGUGUCCUCAGUCUCUGUUGGUUCCCCUCACCACUGCUGCAGCCAGUUGAGGCAGAAAGCCGCACGAAUAUUACUCAGAUUAGGGAGAGCCUAAAAGGAGGGGAGAAUGACUAGUGUAGUUGGGAGCAAUUUUGUUGGUCCCCAAAAAGAGAGGGGAGAGAUGUGGAAGGGAGGAGUGAGGGGUGCCUGUGAGGCAGGCUGUACCUGGAGGUCAGUGACUGCAUGAAGCAUCCAGGCUUGAGCGCCUUGCCGGUGUUCCCCCCAACAGGAAGAGGUGGUGGGGUGUGUGCCUAUGGGCAGUAGCUGUCUUGCCCACAGAGAGUUCGAGCCAGGCCAGAGUUUCCACAUCUUGCAUCCCAGUGCAGACUGCUUUUGAGCACCUGUCACUUGUGGCCCUGCCCUAGCUAGCACGUAUAGGAGAAGCCGUGACCACAGAAGAGGGCUGCAGCUGCUCCCUCAGUCGGGUAAAGAGGUGUUUGUCCUUUGACCUCAUUUGUCAUCUGGGUCCUGAAGAAGGGAGGGCAAAGGAGGAGUUAAAGAACAGACUCCUUGUUGCUGCCACCAUGGCCAGUAGUCAAGCCUGAGCUGUGGGGAGGUUGGAGAUGGGUUAUUAAACCAAGCCGGACUGGACUCGUUAAUCUAGUUACAGGUCAGCUAUGAGAGCUGCUUAGGGUGUGCUGAGGAGAAGAGGGAGGUGACGGCAUGGUUGAAGACCAUGGUCAGGAAAGUGGGACCACAUCCAGGCUGUUCUACCGACUGGUUGAUAGGUUUUUCUAUUUCUUCUUGACUCUAUUUUCCUCAUUUACACUUUCCUCGAACAUUGGGCCAUUUCAUAUUCAUCGAUGGAAUUCUAGAAGACAGGUAACACUGCUUUUAUAACAUCACAGGCCAGAAGUUUUUUUAAGCGAUUUACUUAUUUAAUCCUCAUCAGAAUUUAUUGAGGGAGUUCUUUUAUCAUCUCCAUUUUAUAGAGAAGGAAACUGAGGCACAAGGAGGAUCAUUACAUUGUCCAAGGUCUCAGCUGCUAAGUGGAGGAAUCAGGAUUCCAACCUCCAGCUUAAGCUUUCUGGCUUGAUUCCCUUAUUUAGAUUCGUUCAUAUAUAUAUUCACAUAUACAUGUGUGUGUACUUAUAAAUAUAUAUUUUUAUAAUUUUAAAAAUUACUGUAUAGUUUUUUUUACCCUCAUUUGUUCCUGAUGUUAAUGUGCCUUUUCAUUUUCUCCUGGUUGUACUUUCUGAAGGAUUGUCAACCUCUGGUUCUCAAAAGUGUGGUCUGCAGAGCCCUUGGGCAUCCCCAAGACCCUUCCAGGAGUCUGCAAGGUCCAAACUGUACUUUGGUGGUACGAGGAUGUUACUCUCCUUUCUCGGUGCUGGUGCUUCGCUCCAGAGCGGUUAGGAGUUACGGUGUUCAUCACUGCUCACUCCCAGUAGAAACACUGUCAGAGACACUUAAGAAAGUCUUUUCUGGUGAGAUUGGUAGUGAUACUGGUGAAUGUGAGUUUUUGGUGUGUAUAGUGAAAUGUGUCAAUAUCUGGAAGAUCUGGAUUAACUCAGUGAACCAGUAUUUUCCAAACGACCAGUGCACAAUGUUACAAAAUCAUGCCUCAGGUACGAGAGCAAGAGCAAGAUAAGCUAAAGGAUUUUAAUGUAUCAGAGUGCAAAAAGUUUAUUGAUCGGCUUUCAGGCUCCACACUGCAAUUAAUCUUUAAGAAAUUACCUCGUGUUGAGCUUUGCUAUAGUAUCAAAGAAUAUCCAGUUGUCUGAAACGGCUACUGCUCUCUGUUUUCCAACAACAUGUCUGUGUGAGGCCAGAUGUUCUUCGUACACUUCAACCAAAACAAUGUAUCACAACAGGUGGAACGCAGGAGCCAAUCUUCUACAAAGCCCGAUAGUUAAAAGAUUUGCAAACAGAUCUGGGGAUGAAGAGAAAGAUUGCAGCAGCACCUUGAAAACUGAAUUCUGCCAAAAUAAGCCUAAAAAAAGUAAAGUGCUGAUUGGUGGUUUUCUUCGUGUUCUUUGUGUUUCUUGAUAUUUCCUGGUUAUGCCAUAUGAGUAUUUUUCUUGAGUUUCCUCUUUGCUGAGUUUCUUUACGUUCCCCCCACACCCACCCCGCCAAGCCUGAACCUGCAGGAAUGCUAUUCUCCCACUGACAAUGGUAGGAGUUUUAUUCCCGUGAUGGAAGAAUCAGUUGGAAUAAAAUGAGAUGAGAAAAACAUAAGUUUUUCUCCAUUUUGUUACCAAGAACAGGAUGAUUUAUGCACUCAGCAGUGUGGGGACAGUAUGGAGACACGGGUGUGGAGGUUCAGACUCUGCCUUGAUGUUCCCUCAGGACGUCUGUACGGACGUGGUCUUCUGUUAGACAAACAUGUCCAGUCGGAUGGAGCCGAGUUUUUUUCUGACAACCGAUCUGGGUGACUUUUUGACUAUAACUUGACCUAUUUUGAAUAAACUAACAGCAUUUCCUACCUGCAUUUGCAUAGAAAAUGUAAAACUUUCUCAUCUGUUCCGAGUGCCUGGUGUUAACUUUGAGAGUAGCCUUAACAGACAACUGGCCCACCCUCUGGUCCUCUCAGGGCGGCUCAGGGGGACCGCUCUGUCUCACCGCCUUUGGACAGGUCCCCCUGCACCCUGAAUAUGUGCUUGGCUUCUCACCCAACUCAACUGCAUGAUGGCUGAUGUCCCACAAAGCAACUAAUUAAUCAUUUACUUGGGGGCAUUUUAUGAAUGAUAGUAACAAUAAACAAAUAAUAGGAGUCAUAAUAAUUACGGACAUUUAUUGAGUGCUCUUUUCUAGAUACCACGCUGUGUGUUAGAUGCACGGCUCAUUUUGCUACUGAUUUACCUUGCAAGGUUAUUACUGUGACAGUCUCUGGAGUCCUUAGAGAGCUUUCCAAUGCCUAAGUGGAGUAUUUGGUAACACGAGGACUAGACUUUCUAGAAACUGACAAGGCAAGGAAAAGGAUCCUCUGCUAGAACCUCCGGGAGGAACCCAGUCCUCCCAACACCUUGCUUUGUAUACCACAGGGACCCACGUUGGAUUUCUGACCUCCAGGACUGUGAGAGAAUAAGUUGGUGUUGUUUUAAACCACGAGGUUUGUAGUAGUUUGUUACAGCAGCACUAGGAAAUGGAUACAACCACUCCUGGCUGCGGGAUCCUGCCUUCUCUCGGGAUGGGGGUUCCUGCUUGUUCGGUGACUGUAGACCAGCUCUGGGCCGGCCAGCCCAGUGACCUUCUCUGCCGUCACUGGGCAGCACCCACACCUUCUCCAGUGAGGCCUGACCUCCAGUCCCCUCCAACUCUGUCCUCUUCCAGGUUCUCUCUCAGCCCCAAGGUAUUCUCCAGAGUGGUUUGCCUCAUUAAAGGUCAUCCCUGUUACAACGAAUCUCUCUUGAUAGUGAACUUUCCCUUCUCAAGUUUUGUUCAAACUUCCCUGUUCAAAUUAGAUUAAGCUUUCGCUGUCCAAAGCCGAGACUCUCAUCCUCACCCUGCCCUGUGCCUUCUCACGACUGACCAGCUCUGCCCUUGCUGUCUCCUCCCCUGCGCCUUCCCGCUCCUCCCUCCGGAAGGCCCUUCCCUCAGAAGGCCAGUGCCCUCCGUCUUUAACCCUGCUCCCUUCACUCUGGUGCCACCUGCAAAUACUGCCUGUCCUCCUCGCUGUCGGCCCCACGCCUCCUAGUCGCUCCUCAUUAGCUUUUUCUCUGGUGCCAGUUCCACAGCCUCACAGGCGAUUUGAACUUCCAUGUGGCUCUCCACCUGGCGUUCUGGGCUCACGGGUUUUGGACCUUGACUUCUGUAGAGUUUCUUAUGGCUGCUGUAACAAAUGACCGCAGCUUCAGUGGCUUAAAACAACCCAGAUUUAUUCCCUCACAGUUCUGGGAGUCGGACGUCCGGAGUCCGCUUCACUGGACUAAAGUCAAGGUGUUGGCACGGCUGGUCCUUCCGGAGGCUCUGGGGGGGACCUGUUCCCUUGUCUUUUCUAGCUUCUGGCGGCCCUGCCUCACUCCAGCCUCUUGCUUCUGCUGUCACAUCUCCUGACUCCUCCCUUGGCCUUCUUGCCUCCUCGUAUAGGGACCCUGCGAUUCUAUUUGGGGGCCACCUGGGUAGUCUGGAUGAUCUUCCCAUCUCAAGAGCCUCAACUUAAUCACGUCUGCAAGGCCCUCUUUCCAUGUAAUGUAACAUAUUCACGGGUUCCAGGGAUCAGGACUAGCUUGCGGGGGCAUUAUUCAGGCGACUGCAGCUCCAGAGACCUUGGUCUCUUGCACUCCUGUGAGCGCCCCUUGGAGCCUGUCGCCAUUCCCCAGGACUCCACCCUCUGAUGCCUCUGAUGUGUCCUCCCAUCCUUGCAGAUCCCUUGCUCUCCAAACCCCGCUGUCCUGUCAUUUGCCCUCAUGGAGGCUUCAGCCUCUUGACAGUCGGUUUUUCUUCCAUUUAUAAUACGUCUUGAUUUUAUUCCUUUCUCUAUGGUCCAUCAUAUCUACAUCUCUUUUGUGAACAUAUUAAAUUCUGUUACCCUUAUCCUUCACAGAUGCUUGGUAAAGAGCUGCAAUAUGUGUGAUACGAUAUUAAAGUGGAAGCUUAGGGACAUAGAGACCAACUGCAAAGCAGGAUGGGACUCUGAAAUGUGCAGGCCCUGAAAACGGAGACGGGGACGUGGUGCUGCUGCUCGAAAUUCCUGCACCCACACUGACAGCGUGCAGGCCUGGGAGUUAGAGGUCAGUCGAGGAGAGGGGAAAUUUUCAGAGACUGCUGUUACUGUGCCGUGAGCCCCACCCCGACCCAGGGGAGAUCCGGGGCAUCCUUCAUCUCCAGGCAACAGGGGGAGCCUUCAGUGGGACUGUCUCGAGAGCCUGUAACAUACCUCUGCAUUUGGAAAACAGAGUGGACUGGUGACUGACCCCUCCCGGGAAAUCCAAAGGCUGAGAGAUGCUGCUUCGAUGGCAGAUUAGGGUGAAGGGGACCAUGCGGGAUGGCCUGCAUUACUCAAAUUUUUCAGAACAAAGGAUAUGAGGAUGUCUGCCAUGGACAGAUAUGAGCCAUGUGAGGGAGAAAGCCAGUGGGAUUGGCUUGGAUUCUGUCCCAAAGGACCAUCUUGAGGGUGAAAAGCCCCAGCAGACAAAAGCUGAAGAAGGCACCACCAGAUGCCUAUGAGUUGAGGGGACCAAGCGGCAAAUUGGGCUAGAGAUGUUCUUGCCCUCAAUGAGGUGCAGGCGAGAAGUCUCCAUCUCUGGGAAUGAAGGACUCAGGGCGGUGGAGUCACAUCCAGGAGCUCAGAUCCCAGAGCCCGUGCUUAGAGGAGAGCCGUGCAGGAGGGCGCCCAACCCACAGCACACUGGGCGAGGUCUGCCCGCUGAGGCUCGUAGUUCCCACAGGGCGUUCCAGCCCAUUAGCAAGUCCCCUCCUAUAGCCUAGUCAGAGGGUGGUGGGGAGAAAAACGAGAUGACGCGGGAAGUGCCUGGCACUUUGUGGGCCCUCGGGAGUGUCAGUGUCCUCCCAGGGUGAGCUAGAGCAGCCCUCGUGUGGUGACACUCGAAAGGGGCCAGCACGUGCACCGAGGGGUGUCAGUGGCAGGAGACCGGCCCUUGCCGCCAGGAAGACAGGUUAGGUUCUCCAAGCCUCAUCUAAGGGUUUGUCUUUCCUGUUCUUUCUAAUUUGGGUUCCAGUGUUAGGAUUAUCUGCAGAUCUCAACAGGAAGCCACGUCUUGGUGUUGGGCCAUGUCAAGGCUGAGCCCGUUCCUUCUUGGCUCCCCUCCCAGGGUGCUUUCUGUUUGUUUGCUUUCUGGCUUGCUUUUUGGCUAGGAAUAAAGGCACUUCCCUAAAAAUACGGGUGUGCUACAAUGUGC
This 6171-nucleotide long non-coding RNA is filed under the name Equus caballus (horse). Its description in RNAcentral is "lncRNA (ENSECAG00000059350.1)". Lineage: Eukaryota; Metazoa; Chordata; Mammalia; Perissodactyla; Equidae. The record is from RNAcentral.